Molecule: unclassified non-coding RNA, 234 nt
Filed under: uncultured fungus
Lineage: Eukaryota; Fungi
Description: partial contains 5.8S ribosomal RNA, internal transcribed spacer 2, and large subunit ribosomal RNA
Rfam family: 5.8S ribosomal RNA (bases 1-52)
Source: RNAcentral
AACGCACAUUGCGCCCUGUGGUAUUCCGCAGGGCAUGCCUGUUCGAGCGUCAUUUCAACCCUCAAGCCCUGCUUGGUGUUGGGCCGGGCCCGUCGCGGCCGGCCCUAAAGACAGUGGCGGCGCCGCUCGGCUCUCAGCGUAGUACACCCCUCGCUGCGGUCCCGGGCGGCUGCCCGCCAGAACCCCGACUCUAUGGUUGACCUCGGAUCUGGUAGGGAUACCCGCUGAACUUAA